GGAGAUGUGGCUCAGUGGUCAGGGUGCCCAUUUUGGAAGUAUGAGACCUUGAGUUUAAAUCUCAAUAUCAUAA
RNAcentral lists this transfer RNA (73 nucleotides) under Dipodomys ordii (Ord's kangaroo rat). It matches the Rfam family "tRNA". From Rfam's summary of the family: Transfer RNA (tRNA) molecules are approximately 80 nucleotides in length. Their secondary structure includes four short double-helical elements and three loops (D, anti-codon, and T loops). Lineage: Eukaryota; Metazoa; Chordata; Mammalia; Rodentia; Heteromyidae. The record is from Rfam by way of RNAcentral.